GAAAUGCGAUAAGUAGUGUGAAUUGCAGAAUUCAGUGAAUCAUCGAAUCUUUGAACGCACAUUGCGCUUUCUGGUAUUCCGGAGAGCAUGCCUGUUUCAGAAUCGGCAAUAUUCCUCUUGCUCAGAUGGCUGGUCCGCAAGGACCUGUCUUUGGGGACAAGGACUUGGAUGUUUUUUUUUUUGGGAACAAAAUCAUCCUGAAUCUAUUAAAUACAUGGGUGUGUCCUGCUUCGUUGGAACUGGGCCCAAAGUGCAACAAAAAGCGAGUGCUCUUUAAAAACCACUGGGGCUUUCAGGCAUCCAAUUUGGAUUCAAACAUUUAUUGUACAUGUAUUUCCAAAACCACACGGGGAGGGACCAAAUCUGAUUUUGGCUUUCUCGGAAUCUCGAUCUGAAAUCA
This 400-nucleotide unclassified non-coding RNA is filed under the name uncultured fungus. RNAcentral describes it as "sequence contains ITS1". The stretch from base 1 to 105 matches the Rfam family "5.8S ribosomal RNA", at positions 50 to 154 of the family's 154-position model. Lineage: Eukaryota; Fungi. The record is from RNAcentral.